GAAAGGUAUCAAAAUGGCCGAACACGGUACUGAAAUAGCUACUAGUCACCACCACUAGUGCUUUUGUGCAUGGUUUUUUCGCGCUUUGUUUUAAAAUAUACGCAAGAUAUACAACACGGAAAAUAUCAGAAUCGAGUCGGAUAUCGCUGAAAAUUCACAAUAUUUUGGAUAAUGGAAUGAAAUACAACCGAUUGGUUACUUUUCGUGCACAGAGAAAUCCGAAGGUCGCAACGAUUUUUUUAAUACUUCUGCAUAUUCGAGGACUUGAAUCAAUUGACGAAAGGAACUUUUGCUCGCAAGAAUUCACUCAUUCAAAGGAAUGAAACAAAGGACAUCGGAAAACACACAAAUCUGCUCACACAUCGUUAAAGUAACGUACCAAUAGCCUUAAAUCGAAAAUCUUUAUAUAAAGUACGUUCUCCCUGAAUUAAAUCUUUCAUCAUAAAGAUUGUACAAAAAUUAUUCUGAUUUCAAGGUUACGAAAAUCUUUAUCUUUAUCAGUAUAUUUAUUAUCGAUAUUUAAAUUUAUUAGUUAGUUUUCUUUCAUAGAAAAAGUUUAAAUUCUUUUAAUUUGUAUAAAUAUUUGAACGUAAAAUAUGGAUGACAAAAAUCAAGAAACUCUAAGUGAAAAUAUAUGCAUAAGUACGAUGCAGCCUGAUAUCAAACAAAAAUCGUCGAAUGCAAUUUCUAAGAGAAAUGAAAAAAUCCCCACGAAUGAAAUAUUCGAUGAAAAAGAUUUGUUAAUAGCACAGUUACAAAAGCAAGUUGAUAAACAAAAAGAAUGUAUAAUGUAUUAUGAAAGUAUCGUACAACUUAUGAAUUACAGGCUUAUGAAAUUGAAAAAGGUUCUUAAAACUCAUCAGUUAUUGGAAGAACUUAAUUAAUGAUCAUGAUUAAAGAAAAUGUUUACAAUGGUUUCUUCUUAAAAUUUAAAUAUAAUCGAACAAAUUUUGCAUUAAAAACAUGUGUACCUUUUAUAUUUCUGUUACUAAAAAAAAGUGUUUAGAUGUAUUUUCAUACAUCUUUCUAAUACAAAUAUUAAUUUCUUCUGUAGCAAAUAUUAUAAUGUUUUUGAACAAGAUGUAAAUAUAUAUAUGCAAAGACUGAUGUACAUAUUUUAUAGAAUGUGUUUAUUAAAAUUUUUUAACCUCCUUUUAACAUAUAAAAAGUUGAAGCAAACUGAAAUUUGCAAAAUCUAUGUACACUAUAAAAUGUUAAACAAUUAUACUUACUUAUAUACUGAACAUGGUUAAAUGAAAAGUAUCGGAAUAUAAUGAAUGAAUAAUUUUAAAAAAGAACUACAAAGAUCUUUUUUUUAAAUGUUGAAUAAUAUACUAGUUUCUAUUGAGUUUGAUUUGCAUAAUUUGAUCAUAUGAAAAUAAAUAUUUUCAAGAAUACGUUUUAAGUGUGUUGCCACAAUGUUAUAAUGUGUUUGGAUAUCAAAAAUUAUUGAGGUAGACAAAAUACAAAAAUUUAUUUUAUUCAUUAUUUAAGUAGCAAUAUACGCCGUUAUCGGUGUGCGUAAAAGAAAGUACUAAACACUGAUACUACAAAAUAUAAAAUGAAGUGUAUAUUACAAUACUUGUGUACUGAAAUAAAAUAAAUAACAUCAUUAAUUUAUUACCUAAUUAUUAACUAUAGUUAUUAAAGUCAAAUACGAACUAUGUCUUAGAUAAUAAUAACACGCCUGCAUAACAUACUCAAAUUUGUCAGUAUUUUUGUUACACUUUACACUUGAAUUAUUUUAAGACAUUUUAUAAAAACCCCUUUGAUCAAAACGGCAAUUGUCACAUGAAGAAAAAAAAAAAGAAAAAUAUUUCCAUUUGUUCAGUAUUAAUAAAGCAAAAGAGACCGUUAAAAAUUUGUAACGGAUCUCCUAUUACGUAGCAUCGAAGUAAGUAUUAGAUGACGAAUCAAACACUUCUCUUUGACGCACAAAAAGAAUAUAUUACAAUAUAGAAAUUUGGAUAUGCAUAUUCUUGACUUGUAUAUUGCUACUUGGAAACUUCAUAAAAUGCAGCAUUGAAACAAUGUCUUUACACUUACUUUACAGUAGUUUCAUAAAUAAUGUAAUUGUUGAGUCUUUGCGAUAUUUCCUUUUUUCUCUUAAAAACGACGAUAGAACAUAAUAAUAAUAUACACAUUACAAAAUCGAAAUGAAAA
Molecule: long non-coding RNA, 2163 nt
Organism: Hylaeus anthracinus
Lineage: Eukaryota; Metazoa; Arthropoda; Insecta; Hymenoptera; Colletidae
Exons: 2
Source: RefSeq, a predicted model, not a curated record